CGCUCUCCGAUCUCGCGUCUGUUUCUCUUUCUCUCUCUCUCUCUUCCUCUCUCCCUCUCUCUUGCGCUGUCCCUCAUUCACUCACUCUUCCAUCUUUUUGCCAUUGUGCCAGCUCAAUUUAAAUGUAUCUGCUCUGUAUCUGUUCAAGAGGAGCUAAUCCACGCAAAUCAGGAGCAGUGCCUUUCAGUGUUUGGUUCACAGAGAGGACUCAGCUUGCGGAGGUCACUCGUUCACUGCCGCUCCUCCCAUUAUAUUUCUCCCCCUUAUUGCCGAACUGCUGUAUGUAUACAGUGACUGAAAGGACUCAAUUUACUGCAACUGCUGCCUGGCUUUACUUACAACUUUUUGUUAUAAAGGAACUUACCUCCAUCUGUCUUUUCAAGAACGGAAAGGGUCCUCUUUGCUCCUGAAGACGGUAAAUCACCGGCUGCGUGGUGGUUCUCAGAAGACACUUAAAGGGCUGAGUUGGAUGCUCUCCAUAGCACCCUUGCCAAAAGAGUUCGGAAAUGACUUCCAGCUUCCCACAGUCAUAAAAUGGCACAGUUUGGCAUCUUUAAGGUAAUAAAAGUGAACUUUCCCCCCCAUUCCAGUAAAUGAGAAGAGAAGCCUGGUUGUUUCAAAAACUGAUUAAAAUGCAUAUGUCUCCCUCCCAUUCCAGAGCGUGAUACCAGCACGCUCAGGCGCGCUGCAGGCCACCUGGAACCGCAUCCUUCACGCAGCUCUCGGGUGGAGGAUGUGCGGGAGGGCGGCUGGGAGGGCCGACAGGUGGCGCUCUUCCCUCUGACUCUGUCACAGCGAAUUCCAAAUGCGCCCCUUGCUGAAAUGACCUUGCUUGAAGGAAAUGUCUUAGAGUUCAUCUGUGUUCCUGGCCCUGUUAAACAGCUGCUGAGUUUAAUCUCAAACUCUGGCUGUAUUUGGAUGAUAGGGUAAAAAAAAAAAAAAAAUCUAAAAAACAGGUUUCAUGUCUUUAAGGAUACUACUUAUACACAGCAUUAUCAUCAUUUGCCCACAAGACUUUAAAGUUAGGUUUGACUCUCCUCUGGACUGAGAGGGAAAUCUUUUGUCAUUCCCGUUUGACUCAUAGAGUCUAGGAGGAAAUUUGAUCAUCUUCCAUUUCCCAUCUGAUUAUUCAUAAAGCACCUGCGCCUCUGUUAUUUCUCCUAGACUACACAAUCCUAUAAGCGACAACAAACAUUUUACACAGGAAGAACACCUUUCAGGAAAGGCAUCUGAGCCUUAGAAACUUGUCCACCACACACACAGAGACAUAGCUUUCUGUACUUUAUUUCCAUGGUACUAGAAGUGGAAAUAAUUGUUUUAACCAGAAAAGAUAGGACUGAUACUUUUUACAUACAGUCCUACUCACAUUUGUCUUUGUUUAGAUCCUGCAAUUAGAAGGCUAUUACAAACAAAUUAGUAGUAUCGGGGAAGAAUUUUUAAUGACUUUGUGGAUUUCAGCUAUUGCCAAAUACCUUCAUCUACUCAUCACAUCCUUAAUUAAGGGACACCAGUGUGUGCCUGUGUGUAAUCUCUUUGUUAAAAUUAUGCAAUCGUGGCCUCAGUA
RNAcentral lists this long non-coding RNA (1564 nucleotides) under Chinchilla lanigera (long-tailed chinchilla). Its description in RNAcentral is "lncRNA (ENSCLAG00000028774.1)". The record is from RNAcentral. Lineage: Eukaryota; Metazoa; Chordata; Mammalia; Rodentia; Chinchillidae.